UACGAAGGGGGCUAGCGUUGCUCGGAAUCACUGGGCGUAAAGGGUGCGUAGGCGGGUCUUUAAGUCAGGGGUGAAAUCCUGGAGCUCAACUCCAGAACUGCCUUUGAUACUGAAGAUCUUGAGUUCGGGAGAGGUGAGUGGAACUGCGAGUGUAGAGGUGAAAUUCGUAGAUAUUCGCAAGAACACCAGUGGCGAAGGCGGCUCUCUGGGACGGUACUGACGCUGAGACGCGAAAGCGUGGGGAGCGAACGGG
Molecule: ribosomal RNA, 253 nt
Filed under: uncultured bacterium
Lineage: Bacteria
Description: partial 16S ribosomal RNA
Rfam family: Bacterial small subunit ribosomal RNA
Source: RNAcentral